Molecule: ribosomal RNA, 428 nt
Filed under: uncultured Planifilum sp.
Lineage: Bacteria; Bacillati; Bacillota; Bacilli; Caryophanales; Thermoactinomycetaceae
Description: bacterial SSU rRNA
Rfam family: Bacterial small subunit ribosomal RNA
Source: RNAcentral
UAGGGAAUCUUCCGCAAUGGGCGCAAGCCUGACGGAGCAACGCCGCGUGAGCGAGGACGGCCUUCGGGUUGUAAAGCUCUGUUCUUCGGGAAGAAGGGCGGGAGGGCGAACAACUCUUCCGCUUGACGGUACCGAAGGAGAAAGCCCCGGCUAACUACGUGCCAGCAGCCGCGGUAAUACGUAGGGGGCGAGCGUUGUCCGGAAUUAUUGGGCGUAAAGCGCGCGUAGGCGGCUGGUUAAGUCCUGUGUGAAAGACCACGGCUCAACCGUGGGGGUGCACGGGAAACUGGCCGGCUUGAGUGCAGGAGAGGGGAGCGGAAUUCCCGGUGUAGCGGUGGAAUGCGUAGAGAUCGGGAGGAACACCAGUGGCGAAGGCGGCUCCCUGGCCUGUAACUGACGCUGAGGCGCGAAAGCGUGGGGAGCGAACA